CAGCCAAAAAAGCUGAAAGAGCCAAAAGUCCAAAAACGGGUAAGUGAACAACGAGCUUCGGAGGAGCCAGGAAACAUCUGGAGAUGUUGUUUGUUUACCGGCUCGUUUCUCUUCAGCAGAGACGGACAACACAAACCGGGCCGAGGCUCCAGAAUCUGAAGGUACUGUUUCAAACAGAGCACAGUUCAGAAUCAUCAAUUUCUUUCCUCUAAAACCUGAACUUGUCCCUCUGGUGCGACCCCACUCGGACCCCCAUCUCAGUGGGCCCCUGCAGACCGGCACCGGUCUACUGCCCGUCUCCGCCCGGUUGGUACGGUAAGUAGCAGAUUCUGCUGGGGAAAUCUGUCUGGGAAGUGCAGAGAGGCUGAUCCAAUUCACCUGUUCCAGUUCACCACGUGGUCACAGACACCCCCUACCCUCCCCCGACCAUGCCAGGUACCCACAGACCCCCAGUGACACCACACACCUACAUGUCUGGUUCUGAGAUGUUCCUUUCUUCAGCUCCGUCAGCUCCGGUUCUGACCGCUCAUCCCGUCCAUCCCGGAGCGCCGCCCCAGCAGAAUCUUUAUCAGCAGCAUCUUCCACCUCUGCUGCACCCGUUCUACACACAGUACCAGUAUCAGCCGCCAGUGCAGCCAGUCAUGCAGCCACAACCAGAACCAGUCCAGCCUCAGGUGCCUCCACAGCCGGAACCAGUCACACAGCCACAACAAGAACCAGUCCAGCCUCCAUUGCAGCCACAACCAGAACCAGUGACGCAGCCACAACCGGAACCAGUGACGCAGCCACAACCGGAACCAGUGACGGAACCACAACCAGAACCAAUACAGCCAGUUCCAAUAGUGGAGGAAGAUCCGGCAGCAGUCACAGAGAAGGAGGUUCUGGGCCGGGCUGCAGCUGGACCUGCUGCAGCUCCAAUGCAGGAACCAGGAGGGGGUGAGGGGGGGCUGAAGCCCGCUGCCACCAACAAAGCUGCAAAGAAAAAGAUCAAAGCAGCAGCUCCAAUCAAAGGUACAGCCUGUUUCUAUGGAAACAGUCAGCAAACAACAGUGAUUUAUAAACACUGA
Long non-coding RNA from Takifugu rubripes (torafugu), 1067 nucleotides. NCBI's taxonomy places the organism in Eukaryota, Metazoa, Chordata, Actinopteri, Tetraodontiformes, Tetraodontidae. The record is from Ensembl.